UACGUAGGGUGCGAGCGUUGCCCGGAUUUAUUGGGCGUAAAGGGCGCGCAGGCGGCCACGCGCGUCCGUUGUGAAAUCGCUCGGCUCAACUGGGCGAGGUCAGCGGAUACGGCGUGGCUGGAGCAAGCUAGGGGGCAAUGGAAUUCCCGGUGUAGUGGUGGAAUGCGUAGAUAUCGGGAGGAACACCAGUGGCGAAGGCGGUUGCCUGGAGCUUUGCUGACGCUGAAGCGCGAAAGCGUGGGGAGCGAUCCGG
This 253-nucleotide ribosomal RNA is filed under the name uncultured bacterium. RNAcentral describes it as "partial 16S ribosomal RNA". It matches the Rfam family "Bacterial small subunit ribosomal RNA", at positions 524 to 776 of the family's 1533-position model. The record is from RNAcentral.